UUCCCUUCUGCCACCUUGUUACUGGGUGCCUAAGAGCCUGAGGAUGGGAUGGAGUUUGGGAGCUUGAGGUGAAAAAAAUAAAUCCUCUUUUGCAACCCAGAACUCAUUGUUCAGUAUGAGUUUGAUACAUGUGAGCAGGAAUAUU
This is a small nucleolar RNA of Spermophilus dauricus (Daurian ground squirrel), 145 nucleotides long. The record is from Ensembl. NCBI's taxonomy places the organism in Eukaryota, Metazoa, Chordata, Mammalia, Rodentia, Sciuridae.